Molecule: ribosomal RNA, 425 nt
Filed under: uncultured bacterium
Lineage: Bacteria
Description: bacterial SSU rRNA
Rfam family: Bacterial small subunit ribosomal RNA
Source: RNAcentral
GGGGAAUAUUGCGCAAUGGACGAAAGUCUGACGCAGCGACGCCGCGCGAGGGACGAAGGUCUUCGGAUCGUAAACCUCUGUCAGAGGGGAAGAAGUGUAGUGGCAGUAACUGGCCAUUACUUGACGGUACCCUCAAAGGAAGCACCGGCUAACUCCGUGCCAGCAGCCGCGGUAAUACGGAGGGUGCGAGCGUUAAUCGGAAUUACUGGGCGUAAAGCGCGCGUAGGCGGCUUUGUAAGUCAGGGGUGAAAGCCCACGGCUCAACCGUGGCAUUGCCUUUGAUACUGCAGAGCUUGAGUUCGGGAGAGGGUGGUGGAAUUCCAGGUGUAGGAGUGAAAUCCGUAGAGAUCUGGAGGAACAUCAGUGGCGAAGGCGACCACCUGGCCCGAUACUGACGCUGAGGUGCGAGAGCGUGGGUAGCAAAC